UCCUCCUUAGCUCAGUUGGUAGAGCGCAUCACUUGUAGAUCUUCCGGAAACAUUAGAAACUUGCGGACAUCUGGAUAUGAUGAGGUCAGUCGUUCGAGUCGGCUAGGGGGAA
Non-coding RNA from Coprinopsis cinerea okayama7#130, 112 nucleotides. The record is from the annotation of a RefSeq genome assembly. NCBI's taxonomy places the organism in Eukaryota, Fungi, Basidiomycota, Agaricomycetes, Agaricales, Psathyrellaceae.